This 6647-nucleotide long non-coding RNA is filed under the name Sus scrofa (pig). Its description in RNAcentral is "lncRNA (ENSSSCG00005000795.1)". Lineage: Eukaryota; Metazoa; Chordata; Mammalia; Artiodactyla; Suidae. The record is from RNAcentral.
CUACUUUCUCCGAAGCGAGGAAGUGUUAUUUUGGAGGUCUUAGCGCCCCCGUCCCCUCAGGCAACAUGGCACAAGGGCAGGGAUGGUCUUCAGAGUCAGAAAGACCUCGGUUUUUUGGCUCAGUUCAUUAUUAACCAUGUGACUUUGGGCAAGUGGCUCAGCCUGUCUAAGCUUCAGUUUCCAUUGAUGCUUCAGAGCCGAGAAGAGCUUAGUUAAUGGACAAUGAUAAGGUCCCCGGUGUACAGUGGGCCCGUGGGAACUGAUGGCUGUUGAUAACCAAACAAGCAGUAAUACUGCUGAUCUGCACCUCUCCUCACAGCCUUCGGUCUACUGGUUGGCUCGGAACCUCAGUUUUCCCGUCUAUUCAAUGAGGGUAACAGCAAGUAUUAUCAAUGUGGUAAUACACAAUGGGUGUAAAAGCAAUGUGAUAAACAAACAUGCAUUGCCCACAUCAGGCUCUUGAAGCCUGGGUAUAUCUUGGCCUCCUUGCCCUCCAGGGGGUCCCUACCCCUUGUAGCUGGCACAGCCGUCGCUAGGCCCUUUCUCUCCAUCCAGAGAUGCUCCUGGAAGGGGUCCCAAGUGCUUUCUAGGCAAAGAGACUCUUGAGAUGAGGUUCUCCCUUUUUGGUUGCCCAGGAUCAAAGAGUCAUUUUUCGGUCUCUUGUUUCUCCCUUGGUCUCUCUCUCUCUUGCCUGUUAAGAUUGAAUUGUGUCCCUCACUCUCUCUCCGAAAAAGAUCUGUUGUCGUCCUAGUACCCAGUCCCUGUGGAUGUGACCUCUUUGGAAAUAGGGUCUCUGCAGACUUCAUCAAGUUAAGGCAGGGUCAUCAGGAUGGGCUCUAAUCUGACACAACUGUUGCCCUGAUAAGAAGAGAGGUCGUGUGAAGAUAGACACACGGGGAGGGCACAGUGUGAAGAUGGAGGGAGAUUGGGGCUUGUCCCCACAGGCCAAGGAACAUCGGGGCUGCCAGAAGCUUCAGGAGGCAAGGAAGCAUCCCCCACCAGAGGCUUCAGAGAACUCCAAGCCUUCCCAGCUCUCCAGACUGACUCCAGACUUCUGCUCUCCAGACCCAUGAGAGAAUAAAUUCUUUGUUGUCAUUUCCAGCCACCCAGUUUGUGGUACUUUGCUACAUAGCCCUAGGAAACGAACACCCUGGCCCCAUUACUUGUUUGAGUCUACAGGACUGAGAGGUUUAUUUAUGUGUGAAAUAAACAUCUGUGAAGCCCACCUUUAGUAAUAACUCAUCGUUUAUCCAAAUUAGGGAUCUACUAUGUGAUUAUGUACAACACAAAAUGGAUUGAGAAGAGUAGGGUUAGGCUGAUCAAGAAGGGGAAAAAAGCUGCUAAAGAGGACCCAAAGCACUACCUUACUGGUGGAUAAGAGAAAGUGACUUUCCAUAAAAGUUGAAAGGGUCUUACGUGAGUAUCAGGGCAGGAAGAGGAAUAGGGGGUUAUAGUUCAGGGGUCUCGGGGGAGCUGGCAUUUUCAUGCUGAUUUAAUCUAAGAUUUCCGCUUAUGAAGGGUGAGGUUUACAGACUAAAAAUUAGCCACAAGGUACAACUUUCCUCCUGGCUUUUUAACAGAAGACUAUAAGAAUAAAGCAAGCAGCUGUGUCAGAACUUGCUGGGCAGCAGAAUAUGCAUAGUUUGAACAAAGCCUAGCUGGCCUGCGUAUGAAUUACAGGAAGAAAAGGAGCUUGAAGGCUAUUUAUUCCUUUUCUAUGGGACAUACUGAAGAAAAGACAGAGUCAUAUAUCACAGACCCAGCUGGAAAUCGUGGGGCCAGAUGGGGCUGCAAGGGUGUGAGUCACCAGCUCCCAACUUUCAGGAGCUUUCCACAUUUGGGAGUCUAGCAGAGGCUUGUUGUGAUUCUAAUGGAGCCCCCUGGGUUCUGGAGCUGCUGCGAGCUGCAGCCAAAUGGGUAUAAGUCUUAAAAAUUAGAACUGACGAGAAUGGCUUUUGGACUCAUACAGCCUGGUGUUUCAGGGCCAAACAGUACUUAGAGCUCAGCUGGGUGGGGGUGGAGGAGGAAACAGGGGUUUCUUACUGAAGGCCUGAUCAGAUCUGAUGGGAGCUGGCUCAUGGCCACGGCUGACCAAUCAGAACUUUCCAUUCUCCUGGCCAUAGCAGUGGCUCAGAAAUGGGCUCAGGACCCAUGUCAGCCCAAAGAGAGUCAUUCUAGGGACCUCUACGGGAGCUAUGGGGAAUGAGAUGCAGUCUGCUGGGUUGUUGGGUGUGCAUCCAGAGCUGCUGUGAGCAUCUUGCUAUGGCUAUGGAUGAGCUGGCUUGAGUGAGUUCAGGGAUGGAAGGGAGACUCAGUCCUGAUGAGACUAAGCCCCUGAAUCUAGCUGUGCCCAAAGCUCUUCUGUGUUGCACAAGCCAAUACGCUCCAUCCUUUUGUUUGCUUAAGCCAUUAGCAGUUAGGUUUCUUUUACCGGCAACCUAGAGAGGUCUGACUAAUACACAGACCUCAGCAAGACACAAUAGGACCACAGCAAAUACCACAAAAAUAUAUAAGAGCCAGAGAGAAGAUCCAGUCCAGUCUGUGUACACACGGCCCACUGUACAGGAGGGCCAACAGAGAAGGUAUAAACACAGGGAUGGUUACAAGAGUGUUUUAGAGCAUUGUAAAACAUGGAAUGACAAUAGUAUUUCCUUAACUCCUUCUGGAAUUAGGGCGAAAAGAUAAAGCUUUUAAAAACAAGGUAAUCUGAAUACGGCAUCACCAUCAUCUUCCCAUUCCAGAGACAAGAAGGGUGGGUUCUGUUUAGGCUCACCCUAGGGCUACUAACUCCUCUGCCUUUGUCCAGCGGGACCAUCCCUACUGUAAAACUGGAAGUCCUGUUGUCCCAGGACCUCCUAGUCCCAGGCAGACCUGGACGGUUAGUCAUGUCACAUUUUGGGGAGCUCCAGGUUUGUAUAAAAAAAAUCACAGUAGGAGUUCCCGUUGCGGUGUAGUAGAAACAAAUCCAACUAGUAUCCAUGAGGAUGUAGGAUUGAUCCCUGGCCUCAAUCAGUGGGUUAAGGAUCUGGCAUUGCUGUGAACUGUGGUGUAGGUCACAGAUGCCGCUCAGAUCCCAUAUUGCUGUGGCUGUGGUGUAGGCCAGCAGGUGUAACUCCGAUUAGACCCCUAGCCUGGAAACAUAUAUGCCGAGGGAGCGGCCCUAAAAAGACCAAAAAAAAGAAAAGAAAAGAAAAGAAAGAAAGAAAGUCACAGUAGGAUUUCCCACUGUGGUGCAAUAGGAUCGGUGGCAUCUUGGGAGUGCUGGGAUGCUGGUUGGAUCCCCGGCCUGCCAUAGUGGGUUAAAGCUCGGGUUGCUCCAGCUGAGGCUUGGGAUGUAACUGCGGCUCAGAUCUGAUCCCUGAUCCAGAAACUCCAUAUGCUGUGAGGUGGCCAAACAAGAAAAAAAAAAAAAGUUUUUUUUUUUUUUUUCUCAAAGUCACAGUAGCCCCUGCAGAAGGGGAAGGAGUGCCAAGAUAUCUCUUUUGCGUCUGUCACUUGAGUUUCUCUUCUGUAUGCUUUAGAAGAUGGAGAGUCAUUGGGGAUAGAGAAGCCUGCUCUCUGAGGGGUCUCCUUCUAGAAUCCCAUGAUUUAUUUUUCUUUGUUUCAGGACAAAUUGGCUCUUACGGAUCAGUGAUUUCCGCACCUGGCUGAUCGUAAGAGUCACCCAGGGAAGUGGAAACUAUGUAGAUUCCUGGCUACCAACACCUGCAGGUCCAACUCAGACAGAAUCGGGUGGAGCCAGAGCUCUGCAUUUCAAAAGAUCUUGGCAGGUGACACGCGUAUCAAUUAUUCACAAACGUCAGCAUGUUAACGAUCAUGAAUAAUAAAUCACGUUCCGCACACCUCACUAAUGGCUAAGACACACCGUUGUGUGAGACACCACUUUCCCGUCCAUCUUAAAUGUUCCAUGCUCCCUCCGGCAGAGCUACCGAACACACGGCUCGCUGCACCCCACCUUCAGGGUUUCCGCGUCUGUGGGCUGGGGCCACAGGAAAUUUGCAUGCCCAAGACACUCCCAGGAGGCCUCCAGCUACUUUAGCAGCAUCCUUGCAGCCUGUAAGCUCAGCUGAAGGUCUUGUCUGCUCUCUUUACUCUUUGUCAUCAUUGUAACUCUCUCAUCUCCCCCAGGACAGUCCUCUUGUAAAUGAGUGAAAAAUGACUACGUGGAUAAAGGUUGUAGGAACCUCAUCCAUAGUGACCUUCCCACCAACUUUCUAAAGCAGGCUGUGCCCCGCCCCCCUUUGCAUGUCAGAAAGGUUUCUGCUGGUUAUCUAAGGAGUGCUGAGUGUAUCAUGGGACCUCAGCCGAGGACAUGGGUGGGAACAACAGGAUUUCCUGCUCUCAGCUUCGGGGGCUUUGUGCUGAGUACAAUAAAGUGCCGGCUGCAUCGGGGCCUCCAGCUACGCCCGCUGGACUCUCUCAAAGACUCCGUUUUGCUUGUUUGUCACUUUCUAAGGCUGGCAGAUUUAUGUUUCACCCAUAAGUCCUUUCUGUCUCUCUUUAGCUUGUCAUCAUGUUUAAGUUUUUAAAUUGACUUGCUGGGAUGUUACCCAAGCAUAUUCUGGUUGCAGUAGCUGUUUAGUCCUGUGGGUAAACUUGUUUUUAUCCCCCCGGAAGCCUGAGAAUGACUGUCCCAGCCUCUGCUCAAGCUGUGCGGGCUCGCCGAUCAGCCCGUUUGUCCUCUGUUGGUGCCAGCACGGCUGCGGCACCUCGGCACUGUCUCGCCACACAUCUUCAUUCGUACAAGAAAUGCUCCUAGACGACAGAGACGUAUGCACAGUCACCACCCAGACUUCAACCUAGACACGCCCCAAACAAAGUUAGAAAGGAAGAGAAAGCCACUGACCAUCAUUAGCCACUAGUUAACUAGGGGAGCUUGCUACAUUCUGCAUUAGCCACUAGUUAAUUAGGGGAGCAUCCUACAUUCUGCAGGACCGUUCAAAGGGUAUUGAAGAGGCUUUGCAACUUUUUAUGUAAGGGCUUGAAAUAAGAAACAGCACCCAGAAAAAUACUAAUGAUAAUAACAACAGAAUGUAAAGAUGUCCUCUAUUUUAGACUCUUGGUACUGUAACGAGAUUGCAAAUGAUCGCUUCAUUGGGGUACAGUCUUGUUACCCCUGAGAAAAAAAAGAUGAGGGUCCAAGGGGGCAGGAAACAGAGGGCCUCCCCAAGUCUCCUCCCUGGAAAGAGGGUUUGGUUCUGAGCAGAACCUUUACUUAGGGAGCAAUAAUCCCCUCCAGGUCAGGUCUCUAAAGCAGCCUAGCUGAAUGGCCAAGUUUGUGGCAAUGAGCAAAAGCCUGUUGCCCAGACAGUUGAUGUGGGUCCCGGACCAGAGCUGACUAGUCAACAACUAAAGGAGCAGUCACUCUGCUAUUUCACACUGUCGACAACACGACAAGGACAAUGCCUCUGCUCUGAUGCCGCCCAUGACAGAACUGUUCUCUGGCGCAAACUGGUGUGGGUGGCUUGGCCAUAUCUGCCAGAAGGUUUCAGAACCUUUUAGGUGUUGUGUUCAUGAUAUCUGUGUUUCAGAAAACAUGUCUGAACCUGGCUGACAGGAAUAUAUUCUGCUACAUAAUAAAUAAAAACGAGGAUUUAAAGUUUUGACUUUGCAUUUGGAGAGUUGUCACUCUAGGAGGAAAACAGGUAUUUGUCGUGUGUGUGUGUGUGUGUGUGUGUGUGUGUGUGUAAAAUCUAAGUGUGACCCUGGUACAUGGGUAGGGAGGAAAAUUUCAUCUGAACAAUGGCGGAGGCACGAUACUCAAGGACCACUAGGGAGAAAAAAGGAGUCUGAAUGAAUCGCGUUAUGCUGACACUCCUCCAUUUUCAUCUCUCGUUUUCUCUCCCCACUUUGUGUGUUCUGCCUCCUGCUUCUCCUCUGCAUGUCUCUCAGUAGCACCCUUGGGCCCAGCUACCAGCAGCGAAUGCUUUGACCUCUAUGUUCCAUGAGCUUUGAUUCUGACUUCUUUUCUAGAUUCUAUUAUUUAUUCCUCAAAUUAUGAUAUGAAACUACCCCAGUCACAUUAUCCUUUCCCUCUAGGUCCCUUCUCAGCCUGCUUUUCUCACCGGAGGAAAAGAUUUGCAUAGGUGUAGAAAGCUGGCACCAGGGCGACUCUGGCCGUCUAGGAAAUACCCACUACAUAUGGAGGGUAUGUCAGAAACCACCAAGCCCACAGGUGAAGCUUGGGAACGGCAGUAUGUUAGGAACUGAAUGUAACAGGAGUGGAUCUUUACUGACAAUGUACCGUGUGUAACUUCUAUACGCGAUACUACAGGGGACAGAAAUGACUAAGAAAUCCACGAACAGCUUCGUUUAUUGGAAGAGGCAGAUGUAUAUGGUGAACUGUGCUCACGUUGAAAUAAACUACUGCUCUAAGACUGUUUCAUCAUACUAUAUGACCGUUAUUGCAAUCACCACGGAUCUUGCCUGUUUUUUAAAAUUUAAAUUUCUUUCCUUGCAAAGUUUCUCUUAUAGAAUCAAACUAUUGAGGCAAAAUGCAAAGGACUCUGUUAUCCCGGUUCCAUUUCUAAAUCUUUUUUUUUUUUUAAUUAUUUUUUAGUCUUUUGUCUUUUUAGGGCCGCGCCCACAGCAUGUGGAGGUUCCCAGGCGAGGAGUCGAAUCAGAGCUGUAGCCACCGGCCUGCACCA